Molecule: long non-coding RNA, 652 nt
Organism: Ictalurus punctatus (channel catfish)
Lineage: Eukaryota; Metazoa; Chordata; Actinopteri; Siluriformes; Ictaluridae
Source: Ensembl
CACCGAUAUUUAGACGAUUGUAAAUAUAAUACCUCACGUAAACACGUAUACGGACAAAAUUCCAGCGAAGCAUUAUUUCGGAAGUUAGACAUUAAUGAGGCUCAAAACAUCGCUGUUUUUGGUGAAAGAGUGUUUGCGCAUCGUCUCUUCUGUUCCGCAAACGCACCGCGCUGCCCUCUGUCCUCGGCACACAAAAAAAGGUGAAACGAAGGGGAUUAAAUCAGACAAAGGGCAAACUUCUGUAAGUGUAUCAUCAAGAUUUUACUCCACAGACUGGGAAGAGAGCGAGGGAGAGGCGAGAGAGAGGGAGAGGGGCAGCGAAUGGGAACGCAAGGCGAAGGCAGGGAAACAGCGAGAGAGAGAGAGGGAGAAGAGAAGAAGGAGAAGUGGACACCGCUGCAAACACACGCCGCUACACUGCAACACCGUUCCCUGGAAUUCUGCUCGUUUCGCACAGGUUUGGCUAACAGUGAAACUUGAGCAGCUGCAGUGAAUGUCUACAGAUUGAGAGGGGCAGUUGAGAAUGUCAGUUUUCCAUCUUUGUCCGUCUUGUCAGUAUUUGAGUGAAAUCGUCCCUCGUCAUUACUGCGAUGCUGAAAUGUCAUCUUUUGACAAAGCGACUGACUAAGUGUGGGCUUUUGGACACACUUUC